GACGAACGCUGGCGGCGUGCUUAACACAUGCAAGUCGAACGGAAAGGCCCUGCUUUUGUGGGGUGCUCGAGUGGCGAACGGGUGAGUAACACGUGAGUAACCUGCCCCUGACUUUGGGAUAACUUCAGGAAACUGGGGCUAAUACCGGAUAGGAGCUCCUGCUGCAUGGUGGGGGUUGGAAAGUUUCGGCGGUUGGGGAUGGACUCGCGGCUUAUCAGCUUGUUGGUGGGGUAGUGGCUUACCAAGGCUUUGACGGGUAGCCGGCCUGAGAGGGUGACCGGCCACAUUGGGACUGAGAUACGGCCCAGACUCCUACGGGAGGCAGCAGGGGGGAAUAUUGCACAAUGGGCGGAAGCCUGAUGCAGCAACGCCGCGUGCGGGAUGACGGCCUUCGGGUUGUAAACCGCUUUCGCCUGUGACGAAGCGUGAGUGACGGUAAUGGGUAAAGAAGCACCGGCUAACUACGUG
Molecule: ribosomal RNA, 468 nt
Filed under: uncultured bacterium
Lineage: Bacteria
Description: partial 16S ribosomal RNA
Rfam family: Bacterial small subunit ribosomal RNA
Source: RNAcentral